GGCCAGUUCGUGCAAGAGGAGGGGGAAAUGCGUAGGAUGCGUGUGUUAUGCGGAUUUUUUUGGGUGGAAGGGGGCGUAGGUGGAGUGGUAAGUCAUUGUGGAAAGUUUGCAGCUUAGCGGUAAAAUGGCCGUUGAGACUGCCGGUCGUGGGUGUAAAUGAGGUAGGCGGAAUGCGUUGUGUAGCGGUGAAAUGCUUAGAUAUGACGCAGAACUCCGAUUGCGAAGGCAGCUUACUGGGAUGCAACUGACACUGAGGCACGAAAGCGUGGGUAUCAAACAGGAUUAGAUACCCUGGUAGUC
This 300-nucleotide ribosomal RNA is filed under the name uncultured Bacillus sp. RNAcentral describes it as "partial 16S ribosomal RNA". It matches the Rfam family "Bacterial small subunit ribosomal RNA", at positions 495 to 795 of the family's 1533-position model. Lineage: Bacteria; Bacillati; Bacillota; Bacilli; Caryophanales; Bacillaceae. The record is from RNAcentral.